RNAcentral lists this ribosomal RNA (497 nucleotides) under uncultured bacterium. RNAcentral's name for it is "partial 16S ribosomal RNA". It matches the Rfam family "Bacterial small subunit ribosomal RNA", at positions 28 to 507 of the family's 1533-position model. The record is from RNAcentral.
GAUGAACGCUGGCGGCGUGCCUAAUACAUGCAAGUCGAGCGAACGGACGAGAAGCUUGCUCCUCUGAUGUUAGCGGCGGACGGGUGAGUAACACGUGGAUAACCUACCUAUAAGACUGGGAUAACUUCGGGAAACCGGAGCUAAUACCGGAUGAUAUUUUGAACCGCAUGGUUCAAAAGUGAAAGACGGUUUUGCUGUCACUUAUAGAUGGAUCCGCGCUGCAUUAGCUAGUUGGUAAGGUAACGGCUUACCAAGGCGACGAUGCAUAGCCGACCUGAGAGGGUGAUCGGCCACACUGGAACUGAGACACGGUCCAGACUCCUACGGGAGGCAGCAGUAGGGAAUCUUCCGCAAUGGGCGAAAGCCUGACGGAGCAACGCCGCGUGAGUGAUGAAGGUCUUCGGAUCGUAAAACUCUGUUAUUAGGGAAGAACAUAUGUGUAAGUAACUGUGCACGUCUUGACGGUACCUAAUCAGAAAGCCACGGCUAACUACGUG